AGAUAUCAACGAAUGUUUGGUAUCAGGUACAUGUCACGAAAAUGCAGAUUGUGCAAAUACCAUUGGAAGUUAUGAGUGCCGUUGCAAACCAGGUUUUACCGGAGAUGGUUUAAGUUGUGAUGGUAAGGAAUAAAAUAGUAGACAUCAACUUUUUGUUGAUGAAGAUGGGCUAGAUGCUCCAUAUUAGCCAAAUUAAAUAUAAUAAUACACUGUCAUGAUUUUUUCUGUGUCGGUGUAAUGUACUCAGGUGAAUAUGAUGCUUGUGAUGUUACUCUGAGUGUAUAUCCACACCGGACAAGCUUAAAAAGUGUGCCUGACCACGGCGGGAAUCGAACCUACGACCUUUGGUAUACUAGCCCUAUCACAAUCAUGAUUAUUAUUAGAUAACAUUGAUAUUGAAGGAACUAGAUUCUGUUCCGAAAUAUCACAUACUCGAACCGACCGGACCGCGUAGCUCAGUUGGCAGAGCAUUGGGCUAGUAUUCCAAAGGUCGUAGGUUCGAUUCCCACCGUGGUCAGGAACAUUUUUCAAGCUUGCCCGGUGUGGAUAUACAAUCAGAGUAACAUCACAAGCAUAAUAAUACACUGGUCAGUGGGAAAUUGCAGUGUACUUACCAAAAACAAUCCACAAGACCCAGACUUUGACCAGUUGAGAGAGGCAAGGUGUAGAAAUGUAAAUGUGAUGUCCUAGCGAAGUUAUGCAAUGGAACACCUCAUAAACAGAAAUUUUGUAAACCGCCACUGCCUGUUAACGGACUUUUAUCUCAUCCACAAAUAUAUUUGUCAAGCUUUCCUUCAUCUUCUCUGAAAUGUCUACUACCCCAUAUCUUAUCUUUUCAGUGUCUCUGUCCAGCUCUUCUUCAUCUCUUAUGACGUAUUGAUGCCAUCUCAGCCUUGGGUCUCUCACUUUCUCUGAAAUGUCUACCGCCCCACAUCUUCUUUUCAUCUCAUUUUGUCCUACAGUGAAACCCAUGGCAUCCGUUUGGACAAUAUAUGAUAUGCUCAUAAUGUUUUGUUAAGUAUGUUUUAUGAAAUAGUAUAGUUGACGUCUUUCACCGUUUAUUUUUUCUAGAUAUUAACGAAUGUUUAACAGUAAGCUGCCACGUGAAUGCCGAUUGUAACAAUUAUCCUGGCUCAUUCGCAUGUGUUUGUAAACCAGGAUAUAGUGGUGAUGGUGUAACAUGUGUCAGUA
Non-coding RNA from Paramuricea clavata, 1191 nucleotides. The record is from the annotation of a GenBank genome assembly. Lineage: Eukaryota; Metazoa; Cnidaria; Anthozoa; Malacalcyonacea; Plexauridae.